UGGGGAAUUUUGGACAAUGGGGGCAACCCUGAUCCAGCCAUGCCGCGUGAGUGAAGAAGGCCUUCGGGUUGUAAAGCUCUUUCGGCCGGGAAGAAAUCGCAUAGGUUAAUACCCUGUGUGGAUGACGGUACCGGAAUAAGAAGCACCGGCUAACUACGUGCCAGCAGCCGCGGUAAUACGUAGGGUGCGAGCGUUAAUCGGAAUUACUGGGCGUAAAGCGUGCGCAGGCGGUUUCGUAAGACAGAGGUGAAAUCCCCGGGCUCAACCUGGGAACUGCCUUUGUGACUGCGAAGCUAGAGUACGGCAGAGGGGGGUGGAAUUCCACGUGUAGCAGUGAAAUGCGUAGAGAUGUGGAGGAACACCGAUGGCGAAGGCAGCCCCCUGGGCCGAUACUGACGCUCAUGCACGAAAGCGUGGGUAGCAAACAGG
This 429-nucleotide ribosomal RNA is filed under the name uncultured bacterium. Its description in RNAcentral is "bacterial SSU rRNA". It matches the Rfam family "Bacterial small subunit ribosomal RNA", at positions 355 to 776 of the family's 1533-position model. The record is from RNAcentral.